Fomitopsis betulina (razor strop fungus) is the source of this 82-nucleotide non-coding RNA. The record is from the annotation of a GenBank genome assembly. Lineage: Eukaryota; Fungi; Basidiomycota; Agaricomycetes; Polyporales; Fomitopsidaceae.
UCUCUGUUAGUAUAUCGGUUAGUACACGCGCCUGUCAAUCUUCGGGUCGCGCGAAAGCGGGGUUCGACUCCCCGACAGAGAG